This 525-nucleotide ribosomal RNA is filed under the name Pichia kudriavzevii. RNAcentral's name for it is "partial 26S ribosomal RNA". It matches the Rfam family "Eukaryotic large subunit ribosomal RNA", at positions 62 to 601 of the family's 3401-position model. Lineage: Eukaryota; Fungi; Ascomycota; Pichiomycetes; Pichiales; Pichiaceae. The record is from RNAcentral.
AAACCAACAGGGGAUUGCCUCAGUAGCGGCGAGUGAAGCGGCAAGAGCUCAGAUUUGAAAUCGUGCUUUGCGGCACGAGUUGUAGAUUGCAGGUUGGAGUCUGUGUGGAAGGCGGUGUCCAAGUCCCUUGGAACAGGGCGCCCAGGAGGGUGAGAGCCCCGUGGGAUGCCGGCGGAAGCAGUGAGGCCCUUCUGACGAGUCGAGUUGUUUGGGAAUGCAGCUCCAAGCGGGUGGUAAAUUCCAUCUAAGGCUAAAUACUGGCGAGAGACCGAUAGCGAACAAGUACUGUGAAGGAAAGAUGAAAAGCACUUUGAAAAGAGAGUGAAACAGCACGUGAAAUUGUUGAAAGGGAAGGGUAUUGCGCCCGACAUGGGGAUUGCGCACCGCUGCCUCUCGUGGGCGGCGCUCUGGGCUUUCCCUGGGCCAGCAUCGGUUCUUGCUGCAGGAGAAGGGGUUCUGGAACGUGGCUCUUCGGAGUGUUAUAGCCAGGGCCAGAUGCUGCGUGCGGGGACCGAGGACUGCGGC